UGAGGAGUCCCACAAUAGGACGAAACGGCCGUCCAGUGC
Non-coding RNA from Schistosoma mattheei, 39 nucleotides. The record is from Rfam. Lineage: Eukaryota; Metazoa; Platyhelminthes; Trematoda; Strigeidida; Schistosomatidae.